Cinara cedri is the source of this 1430-nucleotide non-coding RNA. The record is from the annotation of a GenBank genome assembly. NCBI's taxonomy places the organism in Eukaryota, Metazoa, Arthropoda, Insecta, Hemiptera, Aphididae.
CUACUCUCUAUAUUAUAUAUACACAAUUAUUAUUCGUAGGUAUGAUAUAUUUAUACUAUUGGAUUUAUAUUUUCAAACAAUUGUAUACACACAGGAAACGUGUUAUUUUGUUGAACUAAAAUGCCCGUCGAUGGUUAGCUUUUUUUUUAGAAAAGACAAAUAACACGGUUGCCGCACAUGUGGUAAUAAAUCAGAAUGUGGCUUGUUAUAUUUUUCGAUAAAACUAUGCAUAAUUUUAAUUUUAAUGUAGUAUUAUUUUGGCGAAAAAACUCGACUAAAAAAUCAGCCGAAGUGUUUAAAAAAGAAAACACGUCCGAUGGUAAAAAUUAAUUGUUUAAUAAUCGGUAAAGGGAAACAAUAGAAAGAUGCGCAGAAGCAGGAUUUAAAAUUAUACAACUAUAUACAAGAUCCAUUUUCUGAUAAGAUAGAAGAAUUUACUAAAAACAAUAAAAUGGCAAGUAAAAUAUUGAGACAAGAAAAACGAAUAACGGAAAAAGAAUCUAUCCAAAAAAUAGGAGAGCAUAGCUUCAACUAAAUCUAGCUAGAUUGAUAAAAGACGGUGUCAAGCCUCAAACCCGUACGGUCAAGAACCACGAUAGAUACUCAAUUACGAAUUAAGAGGGUAUCAUCCAAAAGUUCCGAACGUAUUUUGAAAAAAAUUUAAACACCAACCACGGGGAUACGGAAGAAAGUGAAUUGUGAGCUGAUACACAGCUCAGCCUCUCCUAGAGGAGCCAAACCGGGAAGAAGUGGAAAAUAUAAUCAGAACAUUGAAAAAUAACAAAGCCCCCGGAGAGGGUCAUAUUAAUUCCGAGGUAAUAAAGAUAGGUUACACAACUACUUGUAACCAAAAUUCACAGACUACUCUAAAAGAAAUAAGCAACAUCGACCAAAUACCUGAAUAUUGGAAAACAGCUAUAAUUUGUCCCAUAUUCAAGAAAGGCUAGCUAUCCUAUGAAUACAAGAAAUUACAGAGGAAUAUUUAUUGAGCUAUUAGACUUCUGUUAAAAAAUCUUAUCCCUAACACUAUUACGAAGUAUAGGUAAGUACUCCAGAGAUACCUGUAUAUAAUCGGAGACUAUCAAAGUGGUUCUGUGAGAACUAUCCAGUUCUGACCAUAUUUUCACAAUCAGACAAGUAAUGGAACAGUAUUAUCAUUGUUAUCAUAAAGCUUUUUAUGCAUUUACGCAAAUCAAAUCUGGCCGUUGAGUCACGUUACUUUCGUAAUAAUAAUAUUAAACCUUAGAAAAUAUAUAUUAAACUCUAAUUCCCAUAUCCACGGUCUUAAAACAGUUUAAUGCAUAGUAUGCACGGAUAUAGAAUGUAUCUAUUAGGGAGGUUGAUAUUAUUAUGAUGAUAACAACAUUAAUACCCAAUCAAGCAGUCUUUGUUAUCACACCAAAAAACAUUGAAAAAUCGUUUUUAACAAU